CAUGGCGCAGUGAGGUGCGGGCAUAUAGACGAACCAGUGUGGAUGCUGGACCGUAGAGGGUGAGAGUCCCGUAGUCGAAAUGUGUUCCGCCGCUGUUGGAGGGUUGCCCGAGUAGCACGGGGCCCGAGGAAUCCCGUGUGAAUCUGCCAGGACCACCUGGUAAGCCUGAAUACUACCUGUUGACCGAUAGCGGAUCAGUACCGUGAGGGAAUGGUGAAAAGUACCCCGGGAGGGGAGUGAAAUAGUACCUGAAACCGUGCGCUUACAAUCCGUCAGAGCCUUCGAACACUUCGGUGUUGGGGGUGAUGGCGUGCCUUUUGAAGAAUGAGCCUGCGAGUUAGUGGCAUGUCGCGAGGUUAACCCGUGUGGGGUAGCCGUAGCGAAAGCGAGUCCGAAUAGGGCGAGUCAGUGGCAUGUUCUAGACCCGAAGCGGAGUGAUCUACCCAUGGCCAGGGUGAAGCGACGGUAAGACGUCGUGGAGGCCCGAACCCACUUAGGUUAAAAACUGAGGGGAUGAGUUGUGGGUAGGGGUGAAAGGCCAAUCAAACUCCGUGAUAGCUGGUUCUCCCCGAAAUGCAUUUAGGUGCAGCGUCGCGUGUUUCUCACCGGAGGUAGAGCUACUGGAUGGUCUAGGGGGCCCACAAGCUUACCGAAAUCAGCCAAACUCCGAAUGCCGGUGAGUGAGAGCGCGGCAGUGAGACUGCGGGGGAUAAGCUUCGUAGUCGAGAGGGAAACAGCCCAGAUCGCCGGCUAAGGCCCCUAAGCGUGUACUAAGUGGAAAAGGAUGUGGGAUCGCUGAGACAACCAGGAGGUUGGCUUAGAAGCAGCCACCCUUGAAAGAGUGCGUAAUAGCUCACUGGUCAAGUGGUCCUGCGCCGACAAUGUAGCGGGGCUCAAGUACACCGCCGAAGCCGCGGCAUUCACAUAACACCCCGGAAGGGUUACGGCUUUUCCGGCAGUGGUGUGGAUGGGUAGGGGAGCGUCGUGUGGCCGUAGAAGCGCCGGAGUGAUCCAGGUGUGGAGGCCACGCGAGUGAGAAUGCAGGCAUGAGUAGCGAAAGACGAGUGAGAAACUCGUCCGCCGGAUGACCAAGGGUUCCUGGGCCAGGUUAAUCCGCCCAGGGUGAGUCGGGACCUAAGGCGAGGCCGACAGGCGUAGUCGAUGGACAACGGGUUGAUAUUCCCGUACCCGUGUAUCCGCGCCCAAUGGCGAAUCAGUUGUGCUAACCGUCCAAAAGUCUCCGGUGUUCCUUCGGGAACUGUGGGGAUGGCUGCACGGGACCCUGAUUGUAGUAGUCAAGCGAUGGGGUGACGCAGGAAGGUAGCUGGGCCAGGUGAUGGAAUACCUGGUGUAAGCCGGUAGGGCGAAUGGUAGGCAAAUCCGCCAUUCAUCAAGCCUGAGAGGUGAUGCGUACCCGUUGAGGGGAAUUCAGUGAUCCUAUGCUGCCGAGAAAAGCCUCUAGUGAGUUGGUACACGGCCCGUACCCCAAACCGACACAGGUGGUCAGGUAGAGAAUACCAAGGCGCUUGAGAGAACUCGGGUGAAGGAACUAGGCAAAAUGGUGCCGUAACUUCGGGAGAAGGCACGCUGAUAUGUAGGUGAGGUCCCUCGCGGAUGGAGCUGAAAUCAGUCGAAGAUACCAGCUGGCUGCAACUGUUUAUUAAAAACACAGCACUGUGCAAACACGAAAGUGGACGUAUACGGUGUGACGCCUGCCCGGUGCCGGAAGGUUAAUUGAUGGGGUUAGCGCAAGCGAAGCUCUUGAUCGAAGCCCCGGUAAACGGCGGCCGUAACAAUAACGGUCCUAAGGUAGCGAAAUUCCUUGUCGGGUAAGUUCCGACCUGCACGAAUGGCGU
Molecule: ribosomal RNA, 1856 nt
Filed under: Rhodococcus rhodochrous
Lineage: Bacteria; Bacillati; Actinomycetota; Actinomycetes; Mycobacteriales; Nocardiaceae
Description: bacterial LSU rRNA
Rfam family: Bacterial large subunit ribosomal RNA
Source: RNAcentral